CUCCACUUUCCAUUCUAAGAUUCCAUAAGUCAGCUGAAGAAACGACCAAGACCAAGGCUGUCUGGAUUAGAAGUUCUACGCCGAAAAGCAAACAUGCAUUUCCAAGUUUUUUCUUAUUUGAAAAUUCUACCAGUUUGUCUUUGGGGGACUGAAAUGAGACUGAAAACAGAUCUCAUGUAAAGCUCCGGCUUUCUUGGAAUUACAAAUACAGAGGCCAGUGUGAGUGGAGUCUUAGAAAGGCUGCCUUUUGGAGAGCGAAGACGCUGGCAUUCUCUGGUUACUUUGGUGAUCGCCACUGACCUUGGCAAGAGGAAGCACUGUUUUGAAAUGGAUCCCGGUGGCACAUUUACACCGGAGUACCUUGCGGCUUCGCAAAUGGAUUUGUGCACAGAUCUGACCCUUUUAGCAGCUACGGUCUAAUACAUAGAUUCCAGCCAAAGUAGUGUGAAGCACACUCAAAACUACGGCUUAAAACAAAGCUUUGUAAAGAUGAUACUCACCUAGUUUUUCCCUAUUGGGAUACUAUGUCUUCACUGCAACGAGAAGAUAGGGUAGAGCUAAUACAAGCACAUAUAUUCAACUUGGGAAUUUGUAAAGAAAGAAAGAAAUGUUAGUGUAGGGGUGCCUGGAUGGCUCAGUCAUUAG
Molecule: long non-coding RNA, 645 nt
Organism: Suricata suricatta (meerkat)
Lineage: Eukaryota; Metazoa; Chordata; Mammalia; Carnivora; Herpestidae
Exons: 3
Source: RefSeq, a predicted model, not a curated record